GACCAGACUCCUACGGGAGGCAGCAGUGGGGAAUAUUGCACAAUGGGGGAAACCCUGAUGCAGCGACGCCGCGUGAGCGAUGAAGUAUUUCGGUAUGUAAAGCUCUAUCAGCAGGGAAGAAGAUGACGGUACCUGACUAAGAAGCCCCGGCUAACUACGUGCCAGCAGCCGCGGUAAUACGUAGGGGGCAAGCGUUAUCCGGAUUUACUGGGUGUAAAGGGAGCGUAGACGGCGGCGCAAGCCAGAUGUGAAAGCCCGGGGCUCAACUCCGGGACUGCAUUUGGAACUGUGUGGCUGGAGUGUCGGAGAGGCAGGCGGAAUUCCUAGUGUAGCGGUGAAAUGCGUAGAUAUUAGGAGGAACACCAGUGGCGAAGGCGGCCUGCUGGACGAUGACUGACGUUGAGGCUCGAAAGCGUGGGGAGCAAACAGGAUUAGAUACCCUGGUAG
RNAcentral lists this ribosomal RNA (447 nucleotides) under uncultured bacterium. RNAcentral's name for it is "bacterial SSU rRNA". It matches the Rfam family "Bacterial small subunit ribosomal RNA", at positions 329 to 793 of the family's 1533-position model. The record is from RNAcentral.